GCUGGGUGUGGGGUCACACACCUGUAAUCCCAGCGGCUCAGGAGGCUGAGGCAGGAGGAUCGGGAGUUCAAAGCCAGCCUCUGAAAUUUAGCAAGGCUGUAAGCAACCUAUUGAGACCCUGUCUCAA
Molecule: small RNA, 127 nt
Filed under: Marmota monax (woodchuck)
Lineage: Eukaryota; Metazoa; Chordata; Mammalia; Rodentia; Sciuridae
Source: RNAcentral